Notothenia coriiceps (black rockcod) is the source of this 353-nucleotide long non-coding RNA. RefSeq lists it as uncharacterized. Lineage: Eukaryota; Metazoa; Chordata; Actinopteri; Perciformes; Nototheniidae. The record is from RefSeq and is a predicted model, not a curated record. The transcript has 2 exons.
AGAACACACUAUUUAUUUCUAAGGUCCAUGUUCACUCACAUGAAGCGAUGCAAAUGAACUUCUCGACCAAAAGCAGAAGUGCUUAAUUUGAAGGCUGAGAGAUAGACUUCAACAGAAGAAAGGACACUACCUGUUCUCCUAUUGCGAUGUCCAGAGGUUUAAUUAAAACACUUCUCCGUCUACGAGUCAGAGAGGGCUCAACAGAGCGGCUGUAGUGAUGGCGGAGGAAGAGGAGGAGGUGAACUACGCUUCGGUUGUGUUCAAAGCCGGCAACAAUCAUCCACCUGCGGCAAAAAGAGGGGAGGAAACUGUGUACGAUGAGGUGAAGGUGCAGAACGAAACAAAGAACGAGG